Rhodocollybia butyracea is the source of this 76-nucleotide non-coding RNA. Lineage: Eukaryota; Fungi; Basidiomycota; Agaricomycetes; Agaricales; Omphalotaceae. The record is from the annotation of a GenBank genome assembly.
UGCCCCAUGGCUGAGUUGGUUACAGCGUCCGACUGUAUGUAUCGGAAGGUCGAGAGUUUGAGCCUCUCUGGGGCAG